Molecule: ribosomal RNA, 458 nt
Filed under: uncultured bacterium
Lineage: Bacteria
Description: bacterial SSU rRNA
Rfam family: Bacterial small subunit ribosomal RNA
Source: RNAcentral
CGGCGAUGGAUUAGGCAUGCAAGUCGAACGGGAGGCAGCAAUGCGUCCAGUGGCGCAAGGGUGAGGAACACGUGAACAACCUGCCUUCGAGUUGGGGAUAGCUUCUGGAAACGGGAGAUAAUACCGAAUAACAUCACCGGAUCGCAUGAUCUGGUGAUCAAAGCAGCAAUGCGCUUGAAGAGGGGUUCGCGUCCCAUUAGCUAGUUGGUGAGGUAACGGCCCACCAAGGCGAUGAUGGGUAGCUGGUCUGAGAGGACGAUCAGCCACAUUGGGACUGAGAUACUGCCCAGACUCCUACGGGAGGCUGCAGUCGAGAAUUUUGGGCAAUGGACGAAAGUCUGACCCAAGCAAUGCCGCGUGCGGGAUGAAGGUCUUCGGAUUGUAAACCGCUGUCAAGAGGGACGAAACAUGACGGUACCUCUGGAGGAAGCCACGGCUAACUACGUGCCAGCCGCCGC